AACGAACGCUGGCGGCAGGCCUAACACAUGCAAGUCGAGCGGCCGUAGCCAUACGGCAGCGGCAGACGGGAGAGUAACACGUGGGAACGCGCCCUUCGGUUCGGAAUAACUCAGGGAAACUUGGGCUCAUACCGGAUACGCCCUUACGGGGAAAGAUUUAUUGCCGAAGGAACGGCCCGCGUCCGAUUAGCUUGUUGGUGAGGUAACGGCUUACCAAGGCGACGAUCGGUAGCUGGUCUGAGAGGAUGACCAGCCUCACUGGUACUGAGACACGGCCCAGACUCCUACGGGAGGCAGCAGUGGGGAAUAUUGGACAAUGGGCGCAAGCCUGAUCCAGCCAUGCCGCGCGGGUGAUGAAGGCCCUAGGGUUGUAAAGCCCUUUCGGCGGGGAAGAUAAUGACGGUACCCGCAGAAGAAGCCCCGGCUAACUUCGUGCCAGCCGCCGCCGUAA
This 451-nucleotide ribosomal RNA is filed under the name uncultured bacterium. Its description in RNAcentral is "partial 16S ribosomal RNA". It matches the Rfam family "Bacterial small subunit ribosomal RNA", at positions 29 to 523 of the family's 1533-position model. The record is from RNAcentral.